AAUGAACGCUGGCGGCGUGCCUAACACAUGCAAGUCGAGCGAAAGGACGGUAAGCUUGCUUCUCUGCGGUUAGCGGCGGACGGGCGAGUAACACGUGCAUAACCUACCUAUAAUACGGGGAGAACUUCGUGAAGCCGUAGAUACUACUACCUCAUAUGUUCAACCGCUGAGAUCAAAAGAGCAUGACGGCUUUGCUGUCACUAUUAGCUGGAGUCGCGUUGCAUUAGCUAGUUGGUAAGGUAACGGCUUACCAAGGCAACGAUGCGUAGCCGACCUGAGAGGAUGAUCGGCCACACUGGAACUGGGACACGGUCCAGACUCCUACGGGAGGCAGCAGUAGGGAAUAUUGGGCAAUGGGCGAAAGCCUGACCGAGCAACGCCGCGUGAGUGAUGAAGGUCUUCGGAUCGUAAAACCCUGUUAUUAGGAAAGAACAGCUGUGUAUGUAACUGUGGAUGUCCUGACGGUACCUAAUCAGAAAGCACCGGCUAACUACGUG
RNAcentral lists this ribosomal RNA (497 nucleotides) under uncultured bacterium. RNAcentral describes it as "partial 16S ribosomal RNA". It matches the Rfam family "Bacterial small subunit ribosomal RNA", at positions 29 to 507 of the family's 1533-position model. The record is from RNAcentral.